GCAGUGAUGUGGAGCAAAACCCGAAAAAGCAGCUUAGUUCGGAUUGUAGGCUGCAACUCGCCUACAUGAAGUCGGAAUUGCUAGUAAUCGCGGAUCAGCAUGCCGCGGUGAAUACGUUCCCGGGCCUUGUACACACCGCCCGUCACACCAUGGGAGUCGGUAACACCCGAAGCCUGUAGUCUAACCGCAAGGGGGACGCAGUCGAAGGUGGGAUUGAUGACUGGGGUGAAGUCGUAACAAGGUACC
RNAcentral lists this ribosomal RNA (246 nucleotides) under uncultured bacterium. Its description in RNAcentral is "partial 16S ribosomal RNA". It matches the Rfam family "Bacterial small subunit ribosomal RNA", at positions 1254 to 1500 of the family's 1533-position model. The record is from RNAcentral.